CAGCAGCCGCGGGAAAACGUAGGUGGCAAGCGUUGUCCGGAAUUAUUGGGUGUAAAGGGCUCGCAGGCGGUUUCUUAAGUCUGAUGUGAAAGCCCCCGGCUCAACCGGGGAGGGUCAUUGGAAACUGGGAAACUUGAGUGCAGAAGAGGAGAGUGGAAUUCCACGUGUAGCGGUGAAAUGCGUAGAGAUGUGGAGGAACACCAGUGGCGAAGGCGACUCUCUGGUCUGUAACUGACGCUGAGGAGCGAAAGCGUGGGGAGCGAACAGGAUUAGAUACCCCUGUAGUCCCUGUCUCUUAUAC
RNAcentral lists this ribosomal RNA (301 nucleotides) under uncultured bacterium. Its description in RNAcentral is "partial 16S ribosomal RNA". It matches the Rfam family "Bacterial small subunit ribosomal RNA", at positions 509 to 807 of the family's 1533-position model. The record is from RNAcentral.